AUUGAACGCUGGCGGCAGGCCUAACACAUGCAAGUCGAACGGUAACAGGAAGCAGCUUGCUGCUUCGCUGACGAGUGGCGGACGGGUGAGUAAUGUCUGGGAAACUGCCUGAUGGAGGGGGAUAACUACUGGAAACGGUAGCUAAUACCGCAUAACGUCGCAAGACCAAAGUGGGGGACCUUAGGGCCUCUUGCCAUCGGCUGUGCCCAGAUGGGAUUAGCUAGUAGGUGGGGUAACGGCUCACCUAGGCGACGAUCCCUAGCUCGUCUGAGAGGAUGACCGGCCACACUGGAACCGAGACACGGUCCAGACUCCUACGGGAGGCAGCAGUAGGGAAUAUUGCACAAUGGGCGCAAGCCUGAUGCAGCCAUGCCGCGUGUAUGAAGAAGGCCUUCGGGUUGUAAAGUACUUUCAGCGGGGAGGAAGGGAGUAAAGUUAAUACCUCUGCUCAUUGACGUUACCCACAGAAGAAGCACCGGCUAACUCCGUG
This 490-nucleotide ribosomal RNA is filed under the name uncultured bacterium. RNAcentral's name for it is "partial 16S ribosomal RNA". It matches the Rfam family "Bacterial small subunit ribosomal RNA", at positions 30 to 507 of the family's 1533-position model. The record is from RNAcentral.